This is a long non-coding RNA of Symphalangus syndactylus (siamang), 618 nucleotides long. RefSeq lists it as uncharacterized. The record is from RefSeq and is a predicted model, not a curated record. NCBI's taxonomy places the organism in Eukaryota, Metazoa, Chordata, Mammalia, Primates, Hylobatidae.
ACUCAGAAAACUAGUCUAGGGCAGCACCUGUGCCCUGUCCGAAGAGCCUCUUAAUUUUUAAGAUUUUUUUAAGAUAGUCUAUGCCUGUCCUGAAUAUCAGAGCCUAAGGAGAAGGGAUGCUAAUUUUUACUUCCAGAACAUGAAUUUAGUUUUUAGGCAACAAGAGAAGCAUGAUAAGGCUGAGUCUAAGCCUUUUCAGUCGCCUGUUUACUUCCAGUGUGAGAAUAGAAUAUACUAUGAAUCUUUACGCUCCAGGCCACGGUGACAGUUCCCUUGACUUUCCAUGUUUCUUUCCCUGGAAUUAAUGAAAAAGUCCCAUGACUCCUGGCAUUUGGAUGGCCAAAAUGACAUUGAGCAGAAGCCCAGUUUUCCAUGCUAUUAAUAGUAAAUUUAAAAAAAAUUGGUGCUACAGAAACCUAUGGGAGAAGACAAAACUACCAAGGGAAUGCAUGCAAAAUUAACAGAAUGAAGUAGCCAACAGAAUUGUGGACACAGUCAGAGAAUAAUUCCCUCCUGAUAACUGCUGAAGUUAAUAUGUUGACAGCGUGACAGUAGUUGAGGAUAACAAGUAAUUACAAACAAACACUAAAACUAAAAUAAGCAGUUUAUGCAAUGAGA